GAUGAACGCUGGCGGCGUGCUUAACACAUGCAAGUCGAACGAAGCGAUUAAACGGAAGUUUUCGGAUGGAAGUUUAAUUGACUUAGUGGCGGACGGGUGAGUAACGCGUGGGUAACCUGCCUCAUACAGGGGGAUAACAGUUGGAAACGACUGCUAACACCGCAUGAAACGGUAGUGUCGCAUGACACAAUCGUCAAAUAUUUAUAGGUAUGAGAUGGGCCCGCGUCUGAUUAGCUAGUUGGUGGGGUAAUGGCCUACCAAGGCAACGAUCAGUAGCCGGCUUGAGAGAGUGACCGGCCACAUUGGGACUGAGACACGGCCCAAACUCCUACGGGAGGCAGCAGUGGGGAAUAUUGCACAAUGGGCGAAAGCCUGAUGCAGCGACGCCGCGUGAGUGAAGAAGUAUUUCGGUAUGUAAAGCUCUAUCAGCAGGGAAGAUAAUGACAGUACCUGACUAAGAAGCCCCGGCUAACUACGUGCCAGCCGCCGCAGUAACAC
This 498-nucleotide ribosomal RNA is filed under the name uncultured bacterium. RNAcentral describes it as "bacterial SSU rRNA". It matches the Rfam family "Bacterial small subunit ribosomal RNA", at positions 28 to 526 of the family's 1533-position model. The record is from RNAcentral.